GACGAACGCUGGCGGCGUGCUUAACACAUGCAAGUCGAACGGAAAGGCCCCUUUGGGGGUACUCGAGUGGCGAACGGGUGAGUAACACGUGCGUAACCUGCCCUUGACUUCGGGAUAACUUCAGGAAACUGGGGCUAAUACCGGAUAGGAAUCCUUGCUGCAUGGUGGGGGUUGGAAAGCUUCGGCGGUUUUGGAUGGACUCUCGGCUUAUCAGCUUGUUGGUGGGGUAGUGGGUUACCAAGGCUUUGACGGGUAGCCGGCCUGGGAGGGCGACCGGCCACAUUGGGACUGAGAUACGGCCCAGACUCCUACGGGAGGCAGCAGUGGGGAAUAUUGCACCAUGGGCGGAAGCCUGAUGCAGCAACGCCGCGGGCGGGAUGACGGCCUUCGGGUUGUAAACCGCUUUCAGCAGGGGCGAAGCUUGUGGUGACGGUACCUGCAGAAGAAGCACCGGCUAACUACGUG
RNAcentral lists this ribosomal RNA (465 nucleotides) under uncultured bacterium. RNAcentral's name for it is "partial 16S ribosomal RNA". It matches the Rfam family "Bacterial small subunit ribosomal RNA", at positions 28 to 507 of the family's 1533-position model. The record is from RNAcentral.